RNAcentral lists this unclassified non-coding RNA (72 nucleotides) under Pseudomonas helmanticensis. The record is from RNAcentral. Lineage: Bacteria; Pseudomonadati; Pseudomonadota; Gammaproteobacteria; Pseudomonadales; Pseudomonadaceae.
UGUGGGAGCGAGCCUGCUCGCGAAGCUUUUGGCGUAUUCAAGAACGCCUUCGCGAGCAGGCUCGCUCCCACA